RNAcentral lists this ribosomal RNA (465 nucleotides) under Vreelandella stevensii. Its description in RNAcentral is "partial 16S ribosomal RNA". It matches the Rfam family "Bacterial small subunit ribosomal RNA", at positions 338 to 795 of the family's 1533-position model. The record is from RNAcentral. Lineage: Bacteria; Pseudomonadati; Pseudomonadota; Gammaproteobacteria; Oceanospirillales; Halomonadaceae.
CCUACGGGAGGCAUCAGUGGGGAAUAUUGGACAAUGGGGGCAACCCUGAUCCAGCCAUGCCGCGUGUGUGAAGAAGGCCCUCGGGUUGUAAAGCAAUUUCAGUGAGGAAGAACGCCUGGUGGUUAAUACCCAUCAGGAAAGACAUCACUCACAGAAGAAGCACCGGCUAACUCCGUGCCAGCAGCCGCGGUAAUACGGAGGGUGCGAGCGUUAAUCGGAAUUACUGGGCGUAAAGCGCGCGUAGGUGGCUUGAUAAGCCGGUUGUGAAAGCCCCGGGCUCAACCUGGGAACGGCAUCCGGAACUGUCAAGCUAGAGUGCAGGAGAGGAAGGUAGAAUUCCCGGUGUAGCGGUGAAAUGCGUAGAGAUCGGGAGGAAUACCAGUGGCGAAGGCGGCCUUCUGGACUGACACUGACACUGAGGUGCGAAAGCGUGGGUAGCAAACAGGAUUAGAUACCCGGGUAGUC